This 468-nucleotide ribosomal RNA is filed under the name uncultured bacterium. Its description in RNAcentral is "partial 16S ribosomal RNA". It matches the Rfam family "Bacterial small subunit ribosomal RNA", at positions 28 to 507 of the family's 1533-position model. The record is from RNAcentral.
GACGAACGCUGGCGGCGUGCUUAACACAUGCAAGUCGAACGGAAAGGCCCUGCUUUUGUGGGGUGCUCGAGUGGCGAACGGGUGAGUAACACGUGAGUAACCUGUCCUUGACUUUGGGAUAACUUCAGGAAACUGGGGCUAAUACCGGAUAGGAGCUCCUGCUGCAUGGUGGGGGUUGGAAAGUUUCGGCGGUUGGGGAUGGACUCGCGGCUUAUCAGCUUGUUGGUGGGGUAGUGGCUUACCAAGGCUUUGACGGGUAGCCGGCCUGAGAGGGUGACCUGCCACAUUGGGACUGAGAUACGGCCCAGACUCCUACGGGAGGCAGCAGUGGGGAAUAUUGCACAAUGGGCGGAAGCCUGAUGCAGCAACGCCGCGUGCGGGAUGACGGCCUUCGGGUUGUAAACCGCUUUCGCCUGUGACGAAGCGUGAGUGACGGUAAUGGGUAAAGAAGCACCGGCUAACUACGUG